UCAAUUAUAGAAGGUCUAGCCUGCUCAAUGAUUUAUUAAAUAGCCGCAGUAAAUUGACUGUGCGAAGGUAGCAUAAUCAUUAGUUUUUUAAUUGAAAGCUUGUAUGAAGGGUAUUACGAGGAAAAUACUGUCUCUUGUUUAUAAGUUGAAUUUUAUUUGUAAGUGAAAAAGCUUAUAUAAUUCUAAAAGACGAGAAGACCCUAUAAAGCUUUAUAUUUAAUUUGAUAUUAAAGUUUAAGUUUAUUAUUUUUUGUAUUAUUUAAAGUAUUUAAUUGGGGAAAUUAAAAGAUUUAAUUAAUUCUUUUUUUUAUAUAAUUAUUUAUAGAUGUUUAAUUGAUCCAUUAUUAAUGAUCAUAAGAUUAAGUUACUUUAGGGAUAACAGCGUAAUUUUUUUUGAGAGUUCUUAUCGAUAAAGAAGUUUGCGACCUCGAUGUUGGAUUAAAAUAAAUUUUAGGUGUAGAAGCUUGAA
This 469-nucleotide ribosomal RNA is filed under the name Liocanthydrus bicolor. RNAcentral describes it as "partial 16S ribosomal RNA". It matches the Rfam family "Bacterial large subunit ribosomal RNA", at positions 1839 to 2567 of the family's 2925-position model. The record is from RNAcentral. Lineage: Eukaryota; Metazoa; Arthropoda; Insecta; Coleoptera; Noteridae.